AAAAAGUCAACACCUCAUACAGAAGCAUUUGGUUGCCAGAGCUAUUCACAAGAGUGGAAGCCUAUGGGCGGGCUGCAGAUGGCAGCUGCACUCACCUUUCCUUCUCAGCUUGCAAGGCUUCUUGCACCAGCCACUAAACAUCUCCCCCUCACACAGACCCCAAACAUCGUACCUCCACCAGCUGCACCUUAAGGACUACACCCUUUUCAAUCAUGAUGUCAUAAAACACUGCUGGUAACUCCCAGCUUCCUCCUCUUUUCACUGUCUGCUAUGUGCCACUCAAUGUGAUUGAAUUCUAUUUUUUUAAAAAAAGGAAAACAAUGAAAGUGGUGCCCCGAAUCAACACAAAAUUCACCAGCAGACGAGCAUCUUCUCUCCCCCCCCUUCCAGUCAAUCAGCCCCUCCCCGCACGCACUUUGACUGGCAUCAGAACACCACCCCUUUCCAGGAGUGAUCCACACAAAGCAACCUGGGCUUGUUAAAACAAGAUUUAAUUUGCCCCCCCCCAAAAAAAAACACCCAAAACAAACCAGACGGAGCGACAGAGAGAAACCACCUUACAGUCAUGCAAGCUACCCAUCAGCCAAAGACAUGGAAACGACCAGGGAGCCUAGGCUCUCCUAGCUCCAUCAUCUCCGCAAGUGCUUGCUACCUUCUCUCUGGGGUGGCUGCUGCAAAAGAACCAACCUGUCUGUCCUUUGCCCAGGGUUUUCUCCAAACGACAAGAUAAGGCUACAGAAAUUAAAGUCUGUCCUGGAUGACAUCCCUUUCCUGAAGAUAAUAUUUCAGUGCUUGGAUCAGUGUUUCUUGCUAAAGAAAGGAAGGAAGGAAGAAGUCCUCAGCAGAUGUAUAAAGAACAAGAAAUUAUUGUUACAUACAGCACUGAUGUUACCUGUCUGUCAUGGGUUGGAGGGAAAGUUCCAUCCUAUGGGGAGUGGAAGGCGGGACAUCAGGAGGAGGGGCUGUACUGUAUAUAUAUGUGGAGUUUGUGAGGAGAAGCAGAAGAAGAAGCUGGGAGAAGCUGGAGGAGAAGCUGGGAAGAAGAAGCUGGUGUGGGAGUCUGUGUGUCAGACAGGGUACUACUGUGUGUCAGUCAGUACCAACCUGAUAGGUUCAGGUGUCUUUAUGGGUAGCCAGAACUGAUAGGUUCAGGGUCUGUGCUCUAUUGAAAGGUGUUCUGUGUGAACCCAACUGGUGUAUGUAUGAUUGAGACUAAGCCACGUUACUGUAUCUUAUUCACUUGAUCAUUUUAUUUUCCCUGUGUGUUAUGUAAAUAAACCUUGUUCUUUUAUUUGUUUAAAAAUCCA
RNAcentral lists this long non-coding RNA (1307 nucleotides) under Pogona vitticeps (central bearded dragon). RNAcentral describes it as "lncRNA (ENSPVIG00000001470.1)". Lineage: Eukaryota; Metazoa; Chordata; Lepidosauria; Squamata; Agamidae. The record is from RNAcentral.